Molecule: long non-coding RNA, 1160 nt
Filed under: Chrysemys picta bellii (western painted turtle)
Lineage: Eukaryota; Metazoa; Chordata; Testudines; Emydidae
Description: lncRNA (ENSCPBG00000007246.1)
Source: RNAcentral
GGGGAGGGACAGGAGAUAAGAGCCUUACCUGCAAAGGCUGCCCAAGGAACGUACUCAAUUCAUGCUUUUUCCAAUUGCCCUGGUCCACCUUCAUUCAAAAUUUCCCUACCCAUUUUGAACAGCACCAGUGAGCUCACAGUCCUCCCCCCACAAAGGAAGGAUGGAUGCAGGUAUGUUGUGACACUGUGGACUCCCAUCCUCCCAGGUGGACUUUCCGCUGCUGGGGGCCGCAGGUUGGCUUAUGCUGGAAGAACCCAAGCUAACCUGACUACCAAAGUGACCCAGAUCUGCUGUUCACUUUCCUGAUUAUGGCCAUAUAAUCUCCCCUCCCCCUCUCCGUCUCCACUGCUGCUUCCUCCAGCUGUACAGAAAAUGGGCCUGGACUUCGAACAGGGGCAUUUGUUAAAUGCUGUUGCGGAAAAGUAAUUAUCCAACAAUCAGACCUAUACAUGCAGGGGGAAAUCACAUUCAUUAAUACCACCCUGGGCAAUCCCAAGGGGCAGAGGGGUUAGUAUUAAUCUGACCCCUUUUCAGCCUUAACCUUGGUGCGCUGACCACCCCAAACUGUGAGUGUGUGUAUCUAAAUUGCUUGAGAGUCAAUUGAACACAUUAAAUUUUUAAAAGGAUUUAACUGAAUUUUUUUUAUAGCUGCUGAAAGGGGAUAAUUUAUUAGCUCUGAGUAAAUUAAAAUCUCAAGCAGGGGUGAAGACUUUAGAGAUUACUUGAAGACAUUUUAUAUGCUUUCAACAGGAAUGUUCUUUCAAAUGGUCCAAAAAAUCAGCUAAUUUUGUCCUAUUUUGUAAAUUACCUCCUAAGGCUGCAAGGUUAGAUUACAAUUGCUAAAAAAAAAAGUUACACCUUCUAAAGGGGGAGGGGAGAGUUGCACUUUUAAAAUAUAGCACUCUUUUGUUUUUCUUAAUUCACAAGUCAGAGAAAAAGUUGGGUUAAAUACUGCCAAGCCACAAAGGGGCGUAUUUUUCAUAUGGUCAUUGGGUAACAGGGUAAUGUAGGAUAAUUUAAUUUAUAUGCCCUAGGAAAAGGACAAGACCCUGUUUUAAACAAAUGCAAGAUUUAUAGUUUCCCCAAACCAGGAGAGCCUCAGGUUACCUACUUCACAGUCUCCAUGGCUGGUUCCACUGAUGGACAGUGAGCUGCAAAAA